Canis lupus familiaris (dog) is the source of this 2574-nucleotide long non-coding RNA. RefSeq lists it as uncharacterized. The transcript is spliced from 2 exons. The record is from RefSeq and is a predicted model, not a curated record. Lineage: Eukaryota; Metazoa; Chordata; Mammalia; Carnivora; Canidae.
UUGGCUUCACACCUCGGCCGGCCGCUCUCGGCCCUCUCCACCUAGGCCUCCGGGGCCGCACACUUUCUCGCGGGGCAGGGUGGGGGUGUGCCGUCCACAUUUUUUAUUGCGGCUGCUCGAGUUCAGAAGUGACCUGCACCCCCACCACUCCCACCUGGAGGAGCAUUCGCCGGAGUCCGGUCGCCCCUACGCCCCUACUGGGCCAGCUUCCUGGGGGAAGUUCUCCUUAAGCCUGGCUAAUUAGCAUUAUUCCUGGAGAAAGGUUAAGGUUAGACCGUCCUUCUCCUUACCAGGAGGCCCACCCCCCUCUUCCCCAUUCCCGUCUCCCUUCCCCCUCCCCAAGAGCACAAAAGCACAAAAAGAAAGUGUGAAGAGGCGCAGAUCAAUGGAGAAGCCACAAACCCAUUAAUUCAAAUGGAACCUUUUUUCCCCCCUCUAAAACAUUGAUUUUUCUUUCUGUCUGCUCUGAGGGGAGAUUAAUAACCUCCUGAUUUCACCUGAAAUGGUGUUUGGACUCUGUGAUUUCCUCCUCUUUCUGAGAAGGAUUGUGGCUUGAAAUAGAUUCUCCCUUGAGAUAAAGCCCUACUUAUCCCAGAAUCAGCUGGAAACCCCAGCCUGGGGCCCCCAGCCUACCAGGUGGGGCUCUCACGGCUCCUCUGGGGAGUACCAUCUGUGUGACAGGAGUAGGGGUGCCAGCUUGACCCCCGCUUCUGGGAUGUAGGUUAGUCUGGGGGAAAGACCCACAUAUGGCCCAGUCCCUGUGGUAGGUUAGUCCUUCCUUAGUAAAUUACCCCUUCAUUGGAAAACCAUUAGGGCCCAAAUGUGCCUUUAAAUAAUAUCAAGCUCCUGUCUAAUCCCAGUUCAAGCUGGGCUUGUUAUAAGACAGCACCUCCUCCCACACCCACCCUACCACCGCUGGGCGACAGGACCCCAUUCAGCAACUUCCCGCAGCAGAGCAGGAGCAGAGCACCCCAGAACUUUCCUUCCAGCUAAGGAGGCGGAUGGGGGUGGGGGGACCGUCUAUGGCCUCAGCCACCCUGAGCUCCUGUGGAGCUGGGCCACCCCACGGAGUUGCUCAAGAACUUUUUUGUCUCGUCUGGGUCCUUUUCUUGGAAGGAAACUCCCGCAGGGGAUUAGCUCAGAGUGGUUCCUCUCUAGCCCUCCUUUUGGCUGGAAGAGCCCUGUCUGCUGCAGCUCAUCUCUCUGGCCACCCUCUUAAAGAGACCCCUGUUAAUGCCAGGGCCUGGGGUGUCAGUGAGGCCCUCGUGGUGAGGACUGCUGGGAAAACAGCCAGUUGCCUUUGCCUAGGAAACAAAAGCCCGUUUUACACUAGUAGGAAGGUGUUGAAAAUGCUCCCUCCCCAGCGCUCAGGCGUUGGCGAAGGCAAGGACAACAGAGCAUCCCCAUAUAUAUGUGCUUCUGACAGACCCCGUGUGUGUAGAGAGAACACCUAAAAGGUGGUAGGUGAUUGGCUGUCUCAGCUCUCCUCACUUCACAUUUCCCAGAAGGGCUUGUAUGACUUAUGGCUAGUGAGCAGAGGAGGUGUGUUAGCAGGAAGGAGCGGAAUUGUGCGGGGAGUGUCCUUGGGUGGCCAGGUGGGCUUGGAGUGUAGCAUGAAGCGGCUGCCUUGGGACCCCACAGCUCCCAGGUGCUGAGGCUCAGACCACCCUAAGAUUUCAUUUGUGCAAUCCCUUCACUACAGGGAUUUGAACCCUUGUUGCUUUAAAUCCUGGGGGUUUUUUGUCUUCCAUUAAUAAGCCAUCUGAUGAGCUGAAGUGGUUAAGUUGGGGUCAAAUGCGGUUCAGUACCUUCUUGGCAUGCUUAGAAGGCUGUGUGUGUAGCGCUCACUGACAUGGAGACAAGGCGCAGAAUUGCCUGUCCUGAAGAAUUUCCAGGGCCUGGAAGGAGCCUGCAGGUGUUCCAGAAGGAGGUGGCAAGUUUGUAGGCUUCCAGGUGUCUGAGAGCAGAGGUAAGAGGGGCAACCGUCUGGUCACUCAUGUGGGGCCUGAGGAGAGAGGGCCCAGAAGUACUCUUUGUAUAUAUACUCUUUGGUUUUCUAAUGCAAAAUCCGUUGAAGUGUGUUUACAGAAAGAGAGAAAUUAGUAGAACAGAUUCCCUUGCAAGCCCAGAAGGGAAAAGCCAGAGGUGCCUGACUCGUGAGCUCUGGGAGCCAGGGAGAGCACCCUAGGUCAGUGCACAGACCCUGCCACUCACAGACCCACGCCUCCUGCCUCCUGCCACUCCCUCCGGACUUGAGCUUGUUCCCAGCUCUGCACGGUCGCUGAUGGGCUGGGAGCUGUGCAUGCUGCUAAUUGCCUGUGUAAUUAGCCCGCUCCUGGAGCCCUGGCUCUGAGCAAGUGGGUGAAGUUUCAGUCUGUCCUCUGCCGAUGGGGGCUGUGCUGUCGCACCGGGUCGCAGGGGCAUCUGGGAAGGCUACUCUCCCCCAGACAACCCUGAAAGUAGAGUUGUGGCAGCCGUGUCAGUUUGACCAGGACUUACUCAUUUGCUGUUUUUAAGUCAGGUUUAUGGCACUGGAUUCCUCAUUUAAAAAAAAAAAAAAAGGCUGUAGCAGCA